AAUAGAAAAAUGAUCUACAACUAAAAUCUUAUUUUUUAGAAUGACUUUCAUGAAGAAGAAAAUAUGGCAUAAACAAUUGGUACAUGUGGUGGUUACAAAUCUUGCCUCAGUGGUAGAUAAGACAAUGAAAGGAACUAAAAGAAUAUAACAACUCAUACAUAAAUAUUGGAAUGUCUUCUCAAUCGACUUAUCUAGUCAUAUACCACCUAAUCGAGGUGCUUCUUUCAAAAUAGAACUAAUGCAUAGGACCAAAUUGGCCAAUCGGCUAAUUUAUUAAUUAGCAUCAAAUGAACUUGAAGAAUUGCAAAAUGCAUAGGAUGAGCUAUUGGAAAAAGACCUCAUUUGAAAAAGCACGUUGCCAUUAAAAGCACUUAUAUUCUUUGCAUCCAAAAAAAAUGGUAGACUUUGACUUUGCAUCAAUUAUUG
RNAcentral lists this long non-coding RNA (426 nucleotides) under Physcomitrium patens. RNAcentral's name for it is "long non-coding RNA (PPAT_LNC004712)". Lineage: Eukaryota; Viridiplantae; Streptophyta; Bryopsida; Funariales; Funariaceae. The record is from RNAcentral.